GAUGAACGCUGGCGGCGUGCCUAAUACAUGCAAGUCGAACGGACAGACGAUGCGCUUGCUCCGCUGACGUUAGGGGCGGGCGAGUGAGUAACACGUGGAUCACCUCCCUAUAAUACUGGUAGAACUCCGGGAAAAAGGCGGUAAUACCGGAUAAUCUAUUUAACCGCAUGGUUCAAUAGUGAAAGACGGUGUUGGGGCCACUUAUAGAUGGAUCUGCGCGGCAUUGGCUGGUUGGUAAGGGAAAGGCCUACCAAGGGGACGAUGCGUAGCCGAGCUGAGAGGCGGGUCGGCGACCUUGGAGGUGGACCGCGGACAAGACUCCUACGGGAGGCAGCAGUAGGGAAUCUGCCGCAGUGGGCGAGAGCCUGACGGAGCGGGGCCACGUCAGUGAUGAAGGUCUCCGGAUCGUGAUACUCUGUUAUUGGGGAAGAACAACUGUGUAAGUAACUAUACACGUCUUGACGGUACCUAAUCAGAAAGCCACGGCUAACUACGUG
RNAcentral lists this ribosomal RNA (497 nucleotides) under uncultured bacterium. Its description in RNAcentral is "partial 16S ribosomal RNA". It matches the Rfam family "Bacterial small subunit ribosomal RNA", at positions 28 to 507 of the family's 1533-position model. The record is from RNAcentral.